GAUGAACGCUGGCGGCAGGCUUAACACAUGCAAGUCGAACGACAUAGUGGCAGACGGGUGAGUAACACGUGGAAACGUACCUUUCACUACGGAAUAGCUCUUGGAAACGAGUGGUAAUACCGUAUACGCCCUUCGGGGGAAAGAUUUAUCGGUGAAAGAUCGGUCCGCGUUAGAUUAGCUAGUUGGUGAGGUAAGAGCUCACCAAGGCGACGAUCUAUAGCUGGUCUGAGAGGAUGAUCAGCCACACUGGGACUGAGACACGGCCCAGACUCCUACGGGAGGCAGCAGUGGGGAAUAUUGCACAAUGGGCGCAAGCCUGAUGCAGCCAUGCCGCGUGAAUGAUGAAGGCCUUAGGGUUGUAAAAUUCUUUCGCUAGGGAUGAUAAUGACAGUACCUAGUAAAGAAGCCCCGGCUAACUUCG
RNAcentral lists this ribosomal RNA (421 nucleotides) under uncultured Hyphomonadaceae bacterium. RNAcentral describes it as "bacterial SSU rRNA". It matches the Rfam family "Bacterial small subunit ribosomal RNA", at positions 28 to 505 of the family's 1533-position model. Lineage: Bacteria; Pseudomonadati; Pseudomonadota; Alphaproteobacteria; Hyphomonadales; Hyphomonadaceae. The record is from RNAcentral.